RNAcentral lists this ribosomal RNA (1407 nucleotides) under uncultured Rhizaria. RNAcentral's name for it is "SSU rRNA". It matches the Rfam family "Eukaryotic small subunit ribosomal RNA", at positions 384 to 1804 of the family's 1831-position model. The record is from RNAcentral.
CGGAGAGGGAGCCUGAGAAACGGCUACCACUUCUAAGGAAGGCAGCAGGCGCGCAAAUUACCCAAUCCUGACUCAGGGAGGUAGUGACAAGAAAUAACAAUAAACCGGCUUAUGCCGGUUUAAUUGGAAUGAGUACAAUUUAAACAUCUUAACGAGGAACAAUUGGAGGGCAAGUCUGGUGCCAGCAGCCGUGGUAAUUCCAGCUCCAAUAGCGUAUACUAAAGUUGUUGCGGUUAAAAAGCUCGUAGUUGGAUUUCUGUGGGGACGGAGCGGCCGGCCGCAACUUGCGGUUCGAGCUAGCGCUUUCCCUACAUCCUGCCGCGAACCGUGCUACCAUUAGUUUGGUGGCGCCGGGGAUCGGCUCGUUUACUUUGAGAAAAAUAGAGUGUUCAAAGCAGGCCACACGCCUUGAAUAAGUUAGCAUGGAAUAAUAAUAAAGGACUUCGGUUCUAUUUUGUUGGUGUUCGGGACUGAAGUAAUGAUUGAUAGGGACAGUUGGGGCGGUCAGUAUUCCAAAGCGAGAGGUGAAAUUCUUAGACCUUCGGAAGACUAACAGCUGCGAAAGCGUUCCGCAAGGAUGUUCCCUUUGAUCAAGAACGAAAGUUGGGGGAUCGAAGACGAUCAGAUACCGUCGUAGUCUCAACUAUAAACUAUACCAGCUAGGGAUCGGCCAACGUUAAAUUAUUCGACUUGGUCGGCACCUUAUGAGAAAUCAAAGCAUCUGGGUUCCGGGGGGAGUAUGGUCGCAAGGCUGAAACUUAAAGGAAUUGACGGAAGGGCACCACCAGCCGUGGAGCCUGUGGCUUAAUUUGACUCAACACGGGAAAACUUACCAGGUCCAGACAUAGUAAGGAUUGACAGAUUGAUAGCUCUUUCUUGAUUCUGUGGGUGGUGGUGCAUGGCCGUUCUUAGUUGGUGGAGUGAUUUGUCUGGUUAAUUCCGUUAACGAACGAGACCCCAGCCUGCUAAAUAGCGCGGCUGAGCUUUGCUCGGCGCGAGCUUCUUAGAGGGACUAUGAUGCGCGAUAGCACAUGGAAGUUUGGGGCAAUAACAGGUCUGUGAUGCCCUUAGAUGUUCUGGGCCGCACACGGGCUACACUGGCGCCUGCAACGAGCAUAUCAGCUGGCCCGAGAGGGUCUUGGCUAAUCUUUUGAACCGGCGCCGUGCUUGGGAUUGACCAUUGCAAUUGUUGGUCAUGCAACGAGGAAUGCCUUGUAAACGCGAGUCAUCAACUCGCAUUGAAUACGUCCCUGCCCUUUGUACACACCGCCCGUCGCUCCUACCGAUGAAUGUUCCGAUGAAAUUUUCGGAGAGCGCUUGUGAAGUUGGUUAUGCCUUCCGAACGAGAGGCUCAAAGUCACUUAAAUCUGAACAUUUCGAGGAAGGAGAAGUCGUAACAAGGUAACC